Molecule: long non-coding RNA, 316 nt
Filed under: Calidris pugnax (ruff)
Lineage: Eukaryota; Metazoa; Chordata; Aves; Charadriiformes; Scolopacidae
Description: lncRNA (ENSCPUG00000015748.1)
Source: RNAcentral
AAUUGACAGCAGCUGAAGUGGAAGGAAAAAAAUGAAAAUAUAAAGUGCUGAAAAUCACGUGGGCGACAGACUGGCUUACAACUGCAGUACGUUAAAGAACUGUUGUCUCUGGAAAUUAAGACAUGGCUUUUUGGAGAAAAAGCAGGUGGCAGCAUUAUUACAGCUCCCUAAUUGGAGGUCUCUUUCUUAGAGCUUCCUCCACCUCCCCCCUUUCUUUGGCAUGUCUUUGAAGAGGUUUUUAGAGCUUAUUUUCCUCAAGGUAACUAUGAAUAAUGCUUUCCUUAUGGGUAGUCAUGAUUAGCUCUGCUCACUCCUG